GCACACAAUUACCCUCAUUCCAGUCAUUGGAAUUCUUCACACAGAACUGCCAUUCACAUUAUAGUGUUUCACACAAACACAGACUCAUUCUCUCUGCUGAACUACAAUCAGAUUUCAACAUUCAAUCUUUCUUCUUCUCAAAUAGUACCAAUCACAUUUCCAUUCCAUAAUUCACUUCACAAUAUUCAGAAACUCUCAAUCCACUUAUUCAAAGAAAAUAACAAAGAAAAGAAAAGAGGUAGCACCAAGCUUAUCCCUGCUCACACUAUCAUAGCAAUAGCCUUUAGCUCACGACUCUCACAGUCUGGCCCUCAGCUUACGACUCUCGCAGUUUGACACCCUAAUUAACUUCUACAACUCCUAUAUACUUUUCCUUGAUUCUCCAGAUUCUAAUCGUAAUUUUGUAAUUAAUCGCUUUUAAUAACUAAAUCACUCAUCCAUCC
This 443-nucleotide long non-coding RNA is filed under the name Physcomitrium patens. RNAcentral's name for it is "long non-coding RNA (PPAT_LNC004751)". The record is from RNAcentral. Lineage: Eukaryota; Viridiplantae; Streptophyta; Bryopsida; Funariales; Funariaceae.